Molecule: transfer RNA, 81 nt
Filed under: Keratinibaculum paraultunense
Lineage: Bacteria; Bacillati; Bacillota; Tissierellia; Tissierellales; Tepidimicrobiaceae
Rfam family: tRNA
About the family: Transfer RNA (tRNA) molecules are approximately 80 nucleotides in length. Their secondary structure includes four short double-helical elements and three loops (D, anti-codon, and T loops). Further hydrogen bonds mediate the characteristic L-shaped molecular structure. tRNAs have two regions of fundamental functional importance: the anti-codon, which is responsible for specific mRNA codon recognition, and the 3' end, to which the tRNAs corresponding amino acid is attached (by aminoacyl-tRNA synthetases). tRNAs cope with the degeneracy of the genetic code in two manners: having more than one tRNA (with a specific anti-codon) for a particular amino acid; and 'wobble' base-pairing, i.e. permitting non-standard base-pairing at the 3rd anti-codon position.
Source: Rfam by way of RNAcentral
GCAGGAGUGGUGGAAUAGGCAGACACGUACGCUUGAGGGGCGUAUGGCACAGCCGUGAGGGUUCGAAUCCCUUCUCCUGCA